Molecule: ribosomal RNA, 253 nt
Filed under: uncultured bacterium
Lineage: Bacteria
Description: partial 16S ribosomal RNA
Rfam family: Bacterial small subunit ribosomal RNA
Source: RNAcentral
UACGUAGGGUGCGAGCGUUAAUCGGAAUUACUGGGCGUAAAGCGUGCGCAGGCGGUAAGUUAAGUCUGAUGUGAAAGCCCGGGGCUCAACCCCGGGAGGCGGGUGGAUACUGUCAAGCUCGAGUCCGGAAGAGGCGAGUGGAAUUCCUGGUGUAGCGGUGAAAUGCGCAGAUAUCAGGAGGAACACCGAUGGCGAAGGCAGGUCUCUGGGCCGAUACUGACGCUGAGGAGCGAAAGCGUGGGGAGCGAACAGG